AGAGUUGCCACGGGUGUUCGUAGAGGACAGGGCUGCAGUGAUGUGCUUCCGGCCAGGUCCUGCCUACGACUUGACGUUCUGUGAGGUCAGGGACACGUCCUUGGUCAUGCUGUGGAAGGCCCCUGUGUACUCCGGCAGCAGCCCUGUUUCUGGAUAUUUCGUGGACUUCAGGGAGGAGGAUGCUGGAGAGUGGAUCACUGUCAAUCAGACGACAACGGCCAACCGUUAUUUAAAGGUCUCUGACCUGCAGCAAGGUAAGACCUAUGUCUUCAGGGUCCGGGCAGUCAAUGCAAAUGGCGUGGGGAAGCCCUCAGACACAUCGGAGCCCGUGCUGGUAGAGGCGAGACCAGGCACCAAGGAAAUCACUGCUGGUGUCGAUGAACAAGGCAACAUCUACCUGGGCUUUGACUGCCAGGAAAUGACAGACGCGUCUCAGUUCACCUGGUGUAAAUCCUACGAGGAGAUUUCAGAUGAUGAGAGGUUUAAAAUCGAAACCGUGGGGGAUCACUCCAAGCUGUACUUAAAGAAUCCGGAUAAGGAGGAUUUAGGGACUUACUCCGUGUCUGUA
This 568-nucleotide small RNA is filed under the name Pan troglodytes (chimpanzee). RNAcentral's name for it is "processed transcript". Lineage: Eukaryota; Metazoa; Chordata; Mammalia; Primates; Hominidae. The record is from RNAcentral.